ACUCAAAGGAAUUGACGGGGACCCGCACAAGCAGCGGAGCGUGUGGUUUAAUUCGACGCGACGCGCAGAACCUUACCAGGGCUUGACAUGCAGUCGCACCGCGCUGAGAGGCGCGUACCCGCAAGGGACGGCUGCACAGGUGCUGCAUGGCUGUCGUCAGCUCGUGCCGUGAGGCGUUGGGUUAAGUCCCGCAACGAGCGCAACCCCCAUCGUCGGUUAGAUCUGUCCGACGAGACUGCCAUGAUCAACGUGGAGGAAGGUGGGGAUGAGGUCAAGUCAGCACGGCCCUUACGUCCUGGGCUACUCACACGCUACAAUGGCCGCGACAAUGGGUUGCCAACCCGCGAGGGGGAGCCAAUCCCAGCAAAGGCGGCCUCAGUUCAGAUUGCAGGCUGCAACCCGCCUGCAUGAAGUCGGAGUUGCUAGUAACCGUGAGUCAGCAUAUCACGGUGAAUACGUUCCCGGGUCUUGUACACACCGCCCGU
This 485-nucleotide ribosomal RNA is filed under the name uncultured bacterium. RNAcentral's name for it is "partial 16S ribosomal RNA". It matches the Rfam family "Bacterial small subunit ribosomal RNA", at positions 899 to 1397 of the family's 1533-position model. The record is from RNAcentral.